Vitis vinifera (wine grape) is the source of this 86-nucleotide microRNA precursor. It matches the Rfam family "MIR403 microRNA precursor family". The record is from Rfam. Lineage: Eukaryota; Viridiplantae; Streptophyta; Magnoliopsida; Vitales; Vitaceae.
ACAAACCUCGAGUUUGUGCGCGAAUCCAACCCCUCAAUCUUCUUUCAAAGGGGUGUUAGAUUCACGCACAAACUCGGGAUCUGUCU